This 883-nucleotide ribosomal RNA is filed under the name uncultured bacterium. Its description in RNAcentral is "bacterial SSU rRNA". It matches the Rfam family "Bacterial small subunit ribosomal RNA", at positions 567 to 1450 of the family's 1533-position model. The record is from RNAcentral.
GAGCGCAGGCGGAAGAAUAAGUCUGAUGUGAAAGCCCUCGGCUUAACCGAGGAACUGCAUCGGAAACUGUUUUUCUUGAGUGCAGAAGAGGAGAGUGGAACUCCAUGUGUAGCGGUGGAAUGCGUAGAUAUAUGGAAGAACACCAGUGGCGAAGGCGGCUCUCUGGUCUGCAACUGACGCUGAGGCUCGAAAGCAUGGGUAGCGAACAGGAUUAGAUACCCUGGUAGUCCAUGCCGUAAACGAUGAGUGCUAAGUGUUGGGAGGUUUCCGCCUCUCAGUGCUGCAGCUAACGCAUUAAGCACUCCGCCUGGGGAGUACGACCGCAAGGUUGAAACUCAAAGGAAUUGACGGGGGCCCGCACAAGCGGUGGAGCAUGUGGUUUAAUUCGAAGCAACGCGAAGAACCUUACCAGGUCUUGACAUCUAGUGCAAUCCGUAGAGAUACGGAGUUCCCUUCGGGGACACUAAGACAGGUGGUGCAUGGCUGUCGUCAGCUCGUGUCGUGAGAUGUUGGGUUAAGUCCCGCAACGAGCGCAACCCUUGUCAUUAGUUGCCAGCAUUAAGUUGGGCACUCUAAUGAGACUGCCGGUGACAAACCGGAGGAAGGUGGGGAUGACGUCAAGUCAUCAUGCCCCUUAUGACCUGGGCUACACACGUGCUACAAUGGACAGUACAACGAGGAGCAAGCCUGCGAAGGCAAGCGAAUCUCUUAAAGCUGUUCUCAGUUCGGACUGCAGUCUGCAACUCGACUGCACGAAGCUGGAAUCGCUAGUAAUCGCGGAUCAGCACGCCGCGGUGAAUACGUUCCCGGGCCUUGUACACACCGCCCGUCACACCAUGGGAGUCUGCAAUGCCCAAAGCCGGUGGCCUAACCUUCGGGAAGG